Panicum virgatum (switchgrass) is the source of this 1360-nucleotide long non-coding RNA. RefSeq lists it as uncharacterized. NCBI's taxonomy places the organism in Eukaryota, Viridiplantae, Streptophyta, Magnoliopsida, Poales, Poaceae. The transcript has 3 exons. The record is from RefSeq and is a predicted model, not a curated record.
GCUUUGAUAGCCAAUGAGGUAUUUUCCCCAACAAUGAGCAUCCACUUAUGGAAAGAACCUGAAGACUAUCAAAACCAUCGAUGCUGUCAUCAUCUGGCAUGGUUUCAUUCAUGAAGUUUUGCCCAAUAAGAAGAGUGUGCGCCCUUUUUGGCGAACAGGAUAAGGUGUUCACUUUCGGAAGAAGCUGAAGAUCUUCAGGAUUCGAUUGGUAAGAGGCAGUACACGGAGAGCAUCAUUCCGGGAGGCGAUGAUAAUAAUCUAGAGCAAUCAUCGGCGUCGUGGUCAAGGUGUGGACGCUGCUUGGAAAAUAGAAGGUGCAAGUGGAGGGAAAGAAAACAAGAGAGGCACAUGUACUGGAGGUGGUGGGUGAGGGGGACCUGGCGCCCUAUUCUUCUGGUCCCUGGCCUUUGGCCCGAGGCGUUUACUUCUUUUUUUUUUUUGAGCAAGGCGCGAGCUUCUAUUCAUUCUGAAAACAGCAGGUUACAAUCCUCGGCCGCUGCCUCCAACAGCCUGGAGCUGCUUCCCAUGGCCCCGGCUGCACAGGUGCGCGAUGGACCUUGUCUUUUCUUGCUGACCCCUGACCGAAAUUCAGAAGGGCUCGACGUGAACCGGAUAGCUUGUGAUUUCUGGCGGAUUAGAGGGAGAGAAAUAAUUGAGACUGGAAGCACCCCCGGACAGUGGAUAUCCUGAAUGCCUGAACUUGUGAACACGGCCUAUCGAUGAACUUCUAUCCAGGUUCAGAGCCAGCAAAAGAUAGAGAUUUGAGAGCGUGGCAAGAGACAUGCAUGGAGGAAGAGCUGAAUGGCCUGAAACUCCACGGCGGCCAGGUCGGUCAGCUCAGCUGGUGGGGGCUCUCGCCGCGUGCGCCGGACGCGUCCAGACCAUGGUCCAUGGGAACGCGAGGCGGCGGCCGGGUGCAGGUGCAGCCACCGCAACGGCAACGGCGUGCGCGUGGGCGUGGCACGCCCGUGGAUGCCCGUACUCCACGCGCUCACCGCGCGACUCGGCGACCGCGCCGCGGAGCGUGCCGGCACGGCACGCCUGCCUGGGGCUCCGUUCACACACCGCCGCACGGCGUCACGAAACCGGCGGCGGGGCGAGGGGCGGCGACGACGACCCCGAGCUCGAAGAGUGGACGCGUAUCCGCUGCGGCCGGUCGCGCUGCCCUGUCCGCCCCCCGCUCCUGUUUGUUGGUUGACGCAUCAGGAAUCCAGCCAGAAUUCUGUUCGGAUCUUUAGCUCUUGAGUUAAUUUGAGAAAAGUUUAGCUAUUAAAUUAGUCCUUUAAAAUUUAGUCUCUAGAGUUAUUUGGUUCAUGGGCUAAUUUGAAGACUAAAACAUAUAUUCCAAUCAUUAGCUCUA